GUGCACGCUCCAGGGCUUGAUUUCGGAACUGAGGUUCAACAGUGAUAAGUUCAUCGUCCGGAAGGGCUAGCUCGCGAACGGUUCGUUGAGGCGGGAGCAGCUGGCCCCGCCAACGAAACGCAUAGUUUACGGCUGCGUCUUCCACAACACUUUCGCUGGGGUGAAGCUCGACGAGAACCGCUUCCAGCAAGUCCGCAAUAAGUGCUUCUUCUGAAGCUUCUAAAGUCGCGAAACGCUCACCGUCUGCAGACACAAAGCAUAAUCGUUUACUCGUCAUGGUACUGUCCAGAAAACUCAAGAGAGAAACCGUUUUCAGCGCCACGCGUGACGCCGACUUGUCAGGUAGCAGCAGGAAGACCCAAGUAUGUGCUCUGAACGCUCAGGAUCAAUCUAACCCGUGCAUACCUCCGGGACUGAUAUGCUCAGGUGUAUAAAAAAGCCGCCACUGAGAGCAGCUGUCGCCUUAAAGGACGAACACCAGCGCCCGUGGUGGAAAGUUCCAGCGUAGUCUGGCAGCUGUGGCGGUAUUGCCGUUGUGUGCAGCCUCGAACCGCUGCUGCACUCUGGGGCCAGCACGUGGAUGCAAAAGUAUGCAGGAGACUACCUGCAAGGUCCGUAUACAUCCAGGGCAGUCUACAGGGCCUCUACAAUGGCGAUCAGUCGAACUGUUCACGCUGCAAUGGUGUCAGUUUAGCAUGGAAAACUGAACUGUUAGCUCGGUUCCUGCCUUUCGAAUCUUUCCGAACUUGUGCAGCCACGACGAUCGAACUGCAGCAAAAAGGACUUAAGGAUGUAUACGUAGGUUUAGGAUUGUGGGUCUUAUGUUUAGGCUGGCUUCUUCGACACGUUGUCGGUGGAACGCUGUGCAUCACCAGUACCCGGGUGAUUCGCGACGCUCUCCAACACGGGUUCGUCGACGAACCAGUAUGCUUCUUCGAAGCGUACAACCAAAGCUCCACGCUUCUCUAUUGCUUACGUUUAACGUGGCCAAAUCACGCAUGUUUCAAGUUUUGGGCGCUUAUCUUUCAAGGCAUCUCGUGGGCGUCGCAACGCACGCUGCUGGCUUGGCGCGGAAAAAUGCUCGACGUGGCCAUUGGCUGCAUAUGCACGAGCUCGUAUCGAGACCUCACUGAACUUGUUGCAUCACAAAAUCGAUCUCGUUGGAAAGACGCAUCCUCUUGUGUCUCUUGCCAUCGAAGAAACUCCAUUGGGCAGCAGCAAGAUAUCUCCAAGCAGAUACGCUCUGGGAGGAGGCUCCCGUCUCUUCUGUUUCCACGGAAACGGGUCUUGGAUCUGGACUUGAGUCAUCGUAACAUCCACCACUGAUGGAGCGUACGUCACUGCUUACCAAGAACAGAGCGUAUACGGAUCGAAAAUUGUCCACUUGUGCUUCUGUCCGGAUUUUUCCAUGGUAUUUGUUUCACCAUGAAGAACAUCGCGUUCUAGAAACUCGCUUCUGUUCGUUCCUCCGUUGAUUCGCGAGUGCCCGAGGAGCUCCGGAUGUCAAGUGCAUCGUGCGCUUCUAUAAAAUCCAUGUUGUCGACCGGCUCCUAUUCUGCCGCGACGCUCGUUGUCCUCAUCGGAUGCAUUUGCCAUGCUUUUGCGCUGGCGCCUCGUCCUCAACCAAGCGGGAAGAAGCUCUAACCGAGGCGCGCGGCGAGCAACCCCGAAAUACCUUCGGAAGCGGCUAAAGUCU
RNA transcript from Cyanidioschyzon merolae strain 10D, 1696 nucleotides. RefSeq lists it as hypothetical. Lineage: Eukaryota; Rhodophyta; Bangiophyceae; Cyanidiales; Cyanidiaceae. The record is from RefSeq and is a predicted model, not a curated record. The transcript has a single exon.